RNAcentral lists this non-coding RNA (117 nucleotides) under Chlorocebus sabaeus (green monkey). Lineage: Eukaryota; Metazoa; Chordata; Mammalia; Primates; Cercopithecidae. The record is from Rfam by way of RNAcentral.
GCCAGGUGUGAUGGCUCACACCUGUAAUCCCAGCACUUUGGGAGGCCGAGACGGGUGGAUCACUUGAGGUCAGGAGUUCGAGACCAGCCUGGCCAACACGGUGAAACCCUGUCUCUA